RNAcentral lists this long non-coding RNA (525 nucleotides) under Bos taurus (domestic cattle). Its description in RNAcentral is "long non-coding RNA NONBTAT027125". The record is from RNAcentral. Lineage: Eukaryota; Metazoa; Chordata; Mammalia; Artiodactyla; Bovidae.
GGCGGUCUGCUGAGUCAAUACAUCUCUGUGUUCCCCGGCAGCUGCAGAAAUACCUGUUCAGCUUAGCUAAUCAGAUCGAGGGAGGGGGCAUGUGUCUUUCCUUUCUGGUAAAAGCAGUCAAGUCCAUUAUUUAUCAGUAAGCGGGGUUUUUUUUGUGGUUGUUGUUGUUUUUGAAUUCUUUGGAUCAUUUAUGGGGUAAAACAUUACGCUUGUCUGAAAUGGUUAUCUUUUGUGCAUUUUGCGUAUCCGUCACUGAUCCGGGACUAUCACAGACAGGAGACCAAGGAAGGGAGAGAACACUCCAAGGGCUUUGUGUGGGUUUUCCAGGAAGUUAGAGAAUGGCUUGACUGUCAAGAUAACACACGGAAAUAUUCAGCCAUUCUUCACUGAUGAGGUGGGGAUGAGAAUCUCGGCGCCUCCGACACCAAGUCAUUUUCUUAUGGUCGUUUUAGCUUUCCUUAAGGGAUAUCACGCAGGUAUCGUUAAGUCGAAGGAAAAUCGAUAGCAACCACGGUGACUUGAAGU